CAGGGCCUGAGGCAGAGAAGCCAACUUCUGCCGACAGCCCUGUUCUCACAAACCCACCCACAGGGCCUUACUCUUAGUGGACCCCCAGCCAAAUCUGGCAUCUGAGCCUGCCGUUGCCAAGAUGGCUCCUGCUGAAUUAACUACAUCUGCCUCCUUGAUCCAGCUGUGUAUCAUCAACCCUGCUCCUUGUUUAUCUGCACGUAAUAACCCAGCCUCUCCGUUAACUCAGUAUGUAUUGGAGACUGAACCCAGGCCUCAUGCAUGCUACAGUCAUUUUACCAGUGAGUUAUACCCCCAG
Non-coding RNA from Peromyscus maniculatus bairdii (prairie deer mouse), 298 nucleotides. NCBI's taxonomy places the organism in Eukaryota, Metazoa, Chordata, Mammalia, Rodentia, Cricetidae. The record is from RefSeq and is a predicted model, not a curated record.